CCUACGGGGGGCAGCAGUGGGGAAUAUUGGACAAUGGGGGCAACCCUGAUCCAGCCAUGCCGCGUGUGUGAAGAAGGCCCUCGGGUUGUAAAGCACUUUCAGUGAGGAAGAACGCCUGGUGGUUAAUACCCAUCAGGAAAGACAUCACUCACAGAAGAAGCACCGGCUAACUCCGUGCCAGCAGCCGCGGUAAUACGGAGGGUGCGAGCGUUAAUCGGAAUUACUGGGCGUAAAGCGCGCGUAGGUGGCUUGAUAAGCCGGUUGUGAAAGCCCCGGGCUCAACCUGGGAACGGCAUCCGGAACUGUCAAGCUAGAGUGCAGGAGAGGAAGGUAGAAUUCCCGGUGUAGCGGUGAAAUGCGUAGAGAUCGGGAGGAAUACCAGUGGCGAAGGCGGCCUUCUGGACUGACACUGACACUGAGGUGCGAAAGCGUGGGUAGCAAACAGGAUUAGCUACCCCAGUAGUC
RNAcentral lists this ribosomal RNA (465 nucleotides) under Vreelandella stevensii. RNAcentral describes it as "partial 16S ribosomal RNA". It matches the Rfam family "Bacterial small subunit ribosomal RNA", at positions 338 to 795 of the family's 1533-position model. Lineage: Bacteria; Pseudomonadati; Pseudomonadota; Gammaproteobacteria; Oceanospirillales; Halomonadaceae. The record is from RNAcentral.